CUAGAUCCUCUUCGAUGGUGCCGCUUGUGGAACGAGCGGCGGACGGGUGAGUAACACGUGGGCAACCUGCCUGUAAGACUGGGAUAACCCCGGGAAACCGGGGCUAAUACCGGAUAAUACUUUUCAUCACCUGAUGGAAAGUUGAAAGGUGGCUUCUUGCUACCACUUACAGAUGGGCCCGCGGCGCAUUAGCUAGUUGGUGAGGUAACGGCUCACCAAGGCAACGAUGCGUAGCCGACCUGAGAGGGUGAUCGGCCACACUGGGACUGAGACACGGCCCAGACUCCUACGGGAGGCAGCAGUAGGGAAUCUUCCGCAAUGGACGAAAGUCUGACGGAGCAACGCCGCGUGAGUGAUGAAGGUUUUCGGAUCGUAAAGCUCUGUUGUUAGGGAAGAACAAGUGCCGUUCGAAUAGGGCGGCACCUUGACGGUACCUAACCAGAAAGCCCCGGCUAACUACGUGCC
This 465-nucleotide ribosomal RNA is filed under the name Virgibacillus halodenitrificans. RNAcentral describes it as "bacterial SSU rRNA". It matches the Rfam family "Bacterial small subunit ribosomal RNA", at positions 67 to 509 of the family's 1533-position model. The record is from RNAcentral. RNAcentral also lists the same sequence under 1 other name. Lineage: Bacteria; Bacillati; Bacillota; Bacilli; Caryophanales; Bacillaceae.